Delphinapterus leucas (beluga whale) is the source of this 767-nucleotide non-coding RNA. Lineage: Eukaryota; Metazoa; Chordata; Mammalia; Artiodactyla; Monodontidae. The record is from RefSeq and is a predicted model, not a curated record.
GCGACGGUGGUUCUUGUCUUUUGGCUCCCUGGGCAGCGUUCUUUUUCCUGCGUGCGCGUUAACAAUUAAUCAUCAGAGAUCAUCACAGAACCCAUGCCCUCCUCGCCUACCACUCUCAGUUCCCCUCGGGGAGGACUAAGGUUCUACUAAGAAGUUACCUGAUGUGACUGAGGGAAUUUCGCGUCCCUCCCUGCUCCCGGAGGCUUCCUCUGCAGACCCUCUGACCCAUUUCUGCGCGCCCCCGAGCGUUUGUGCUCCAAGUGUCCUAAGGUUGCACUUUACUCGUGGCUCCUUGGAGAAGGCAUAUGGGGCAUAUGAAUUCUGGCCCCAAACCAGAGAGAAGGCUUGUUGAGAAUACUCAAGGAAAGAAUUUUCUUUUUUCCCUUUUAUCCAGGACAAAGGCCAAGAAAGGCAGAUUUGGUCUAUGGAGUCACCAGUUUGAUAUAUGAUCUAUGAUACAGAGUGAGAAGAGGACAAAGAAAGAAACCUGAGAACAGUUAAAGAAUGAGCAGAAAAAGAGAACUCCACUAAGAAAAGUGGUAGGAGAAACAUAAGAGGACAGGAAUUUGAUGAGAUAUCUGCCACUGUCUCUCUAUCUCUCUCAGAAAUGCACCAAGACCCCCUAAACACCACCAUACGGAAAUGAUAUUUGAACAGCUUAAGAUAAAGAUAAAGAUGGCAACUGGGGCUUCUCUGGUGGCACAGAGGUUAAGAAUCCACCUGCCAAUUCAGGGGACACGGUUCAAGCCCUGGUCUAGGAAGAUGCC